GAGAGUUUUGAACAAAGCUUUAUAUUAAAAGGAAUAAUUACCCAAAAAAUCGAGAAGAAAUCAGUAUGGAAAUUAUAAAUAUCGUAUAUCUUCUUAACUGGUUCUUAAUUUGACUUAUGAACUGUGGUAAUCAUAAAUUUGUCAAUUAAGUUAUUCGUUUUAUACAAAGAUCUUUGUGAUCUUUCUCAAAUAAUUAAUUUAUAUGAUCCCAACUACGUAUAGACAUAAUUAUUUGUUUUGCUUGGACUUACUUACACGGAAAUAUAAUCUCAACUCUCACAUUAGGAGUAUUGUCGGAUGCUAUUAUUUUCCAAGAAUCAACAGGGUGGUCAAAUGGGGUUGUCUGAUAUCUGAUAUGUCGGCAUCUGUUUUUCGUGAGUUUUAUUCUCUAUUUGUAUCGUUUUGUAGUCGAUGGUAACGCUAUCUUCAUGAGAGAGACAUGCAUUGUCGCUUCAAGGUCUGCUUGAUUUACUUGUAUUCUAUUUAUUUUGUCUACGUCUGACUUAUCCGAGUGCCAGUGAACAAAUUUUGUUUAAUUUGAUUAUUUACCGUAAUUAAUGUCUCAUUUUUCUGAAAGAACGAUUUGUUACUACUGCUUCUCUUAUCACAUUAGGCAGAUAAAUCCUAAGGGGUGGACGUAGUUUUCGGUACUUUACGCAAAUAUAAUUUAUAAACGUUAAUUUGUAUAACAGUAGUAGAUAUCUAAUCGGACUUUAAACUUACUUUUCAUCUGGAAGAAAAAAUAAACUUAAUCUCUUUAAAGAAAAGCAGAUGCAGCUGUAUUGUUUUACAUUAGUGACUAUAGAAAUUAUGACAAGAUUUUUUUUUUUUUUUUUUUUUUUUUCUA
RNAcentral lists this long non-coding RNA (847 nucleotides) under Androctonus crassicauda. Lineage: Eukaryota; Metazoa; Arthropoda; Arachnida; Scorpiones; Buthidae. The record is from RNAcentral.